GCCCGGUUAGCUCAAUCGGUAGAGCGUGAGACUCUUAAUCUCAAGGUUGCGGGUAAGUUACUGGCACAUCCUGUUUAAAAAAUAAUUCUGUAAAAAGUACUAAACCUACCUCUUAGGUUCGACCCCCGCAUUGGGCU
This is a non-coding RNA of Xylariaceae sp. AK1471, 137 nucleotides long. The record is from the annotation of a GenBank genome assembly. Lineage: Eukaryota; Fungi; Ascomycota; Sordariomycetes; Xylariales; Xylariaceae.